AUUCCUAUACUUUAAAAUUGCAUUCGCACAAUUAACUAAUUGCAAAUUCAUGACACCGAUAUGAUGCAUCAAAGCAAGUCACAAAGUUGCACUUUUGCUGUUUUUCUCAAGGAUAUCACAGCAAUUACAAACGUUUAAAUUAACCAUUUGCUGGAAUUCGCCAACAAAAAAACAGGCAGAAAGAUAAAUCAUUUAAUUAGCAGCAAUCACGAAACAAUUGAUGGCAGAAUUAAUGUCUCUCCAGGCAUUUGAGCUCUCUUGAGAAGGAUUGAAGCAUCUGUCGAUGGCAAUUGGUUGCAAGUUGCUGCUGCGUUUGCCGCGUUGAUUACAUUUCGAGGCAUUUGCGGCAUCGUCGGCAUUUUCACCAAAUGAAUUAAUUAAAUCAGUGAGCAGAGACACUUUUGUAAUUAGAAAUGCCCGCAUUUGGCGCUGAGGCGGACACAAAAAAGGCCGCAAUAAUGUAAACUUAAGGAAAGGAAAGCGGCGCCACACAAAAUGAGGCAUCACAAAGUGGUUGCUUCGCUUUUAUUUUACUUUAGUUUGUUUUUUCCAAGAAUUCAAGAAAUGCAAUGCGUUUUCGGCUCAUUUUCUAAACGUAAAUAGAAAACAGCGGCGAGGUCGGAUUUUAUUAUAGCUUGGCAAGUUUAAGGCUAAAGUCAAGGCGAUUUCAAAAUGUGUAUUUAUGGACGCAUUUAACUUACCGCUGUGGAGCUGCGUUUGCGCAGUAAAUUGUCCAGGCAGAGUUGCAGCUCAAAGGCCUUCAAAUAGAGCAGAUGAUAACGAUCGCGUAGACGCUCCAAAUUGCCUUCACCUUUCCUUGGAUGAGCUGCGGAUGGAGCUGCUGUUGUUGCUGUUGGAGCUGCUGUUGUGGCUGCUGUGCUGGGCGUGGUCAAUGGUG
Drosophila sulfurigaster albostrigata is the source of this 898-nucleotide long non-coding RNA. RefSeq lists it as uncharacterized. The record is from RefSeq and is a predicted model, not a curated record. NCBI's taxonomy places the organism in Eukaryota, Metazoa, Arthropoda, Insecta, Diptera, Drosophilidae. The transcript has 2 exons.